RNAcentral lists this ribosomal RNA (468 nucleotides) under uncultured bacterium. Its description in RNAcentral is "partial 16S ribosomal RNA". It matches the Rfam family "Bacterial small subunit ribosomal RNA", at positions 28 to 507 of the family's 1533-position model. The record is from RNAcentral.
GACGAACGCUGGCGGCGUGCUUAACACAUGCAAGUCGAACGGAAAGGCCCUGCUUUUGUGGGGUGCUCGAGUGGCGAACGGGUGAGUAACACGUGAGUAACCUGCCCUUGACUUUGGGAUAACUUCAGGAAACUGGGGCUAAUACCGGAUAGGAGCUCCUGCUGCAUGGUGGGGGUUGGAAAGUUUCGGCGGUUGGGGAUGGACUCGCGGCUUAUCAGCUUGUUGGUGGGGUAGUGGCUUACCAAGGCUUUGACGGGUAGCCGGCCUGAGAGGGUAACCGGCCACAUUGGGACUGAGAUACGGCCCAGACUCCUACGGGAGGCAGCAGUGGCGAAUAUUGCACAAUGGGCGGAAGCCUGAUGCAGCAACGCCGCGUGCGGGAUGACGGCCUUCGGGUUGUAAACCGCUUUCGCCUGUGACGAAGCGUGAGUGACGGUAAUGGGUAAAGAAGCACCGGCUAACUACGUG